Molecule: ribosomal RNA, 305 nt
Filed under: uncultured bacterium
Lineage: Bacteria
Description: bacterial SSU rRNA
Rfam family: Bacterial small subunit ribosomal RNA
Source: RNAcentral
GCCUACGGGACGCAGCAGUGGGGAAUAUUGCACAAUGGGGGAAACCCUGAUGCAGCGACGCCGCGUGAAGGAAGAAGUAUUUCGGUAUGUAAACUUCUAUCAGCAGGGAAGAAAAUGACGGUACCUGACUAAGAAGCCCCGGCUAACUACGUGCCAGCAGCCGCGGUAAUACGGAGGAUGCGAGCGUUAUCCGGAUUUAUUGGGUUUAAAGGGUGCGUAGGCGGAAUGCCAAGUCAGCGGUAAAAUCGCGGGGCUCAACCUCGCUCCGCCGUUGAAACUGGCGUUCUUGAGUGGGCGAGAAGUAU